Non-coding RNA from Drosophila melanogaster (fruit fly), 439 nucleotides. The record is from Ensembl. NCBI's taxonomy places the organism in Eukaryota, Metazoa, Arthropoda, Insecta, Diptera, Drosophilidae.
CCCGCAGCUUUUCAUAGCGAACUUUUUGCCCAGUGUAGUGGUGGAUUCCUGUUCCGGUUGCUCUGCUCCGCUCUGCUUCAGCUCAAGGGAUCGGGUUCUGUGGGCUUAUUCAAUUUCGCAAUCGCCGCCUCUGGAGUCGAGCCACCUCCUGACCACCCCCUCCAAUGAGGUGCACUCCCCCUUUAGCCCCUUUAGCCCCUUCAGCCGCAUAGAGCUGCUGGUGCCUCCGGCCAUGUCCUGGCCUGUCUUCCCAAUUGACUGCCGCGCCACUUCCGUUUCGUUGACGAUGGCGAUGCAAUGGCGAUGCGAUGGCGAUGGCGAUGGCGUUGGUAGCACCAAAACCAGUCAAGCGUUCGCCUGCUGGAUGCACAGGAGCAACAUCAGCAGCAGCAGCAACAAAACUGUUGUCGUUGUCGACGUUGUGCAGCAAAUGCAAUAA